Nicotiana attenuata is the source of this 1890-nucleotide long non-coding RNA. RefSeq lists it as uncharacterized. The record is from RefSeq and is a predicted model, not a curated record. The transcript is spliced from 2 exons. NCBI's taxonomy places the organism in Eukaryota, Viridiplantae, Streptophyta, Magnoliopsida, Solanales, Solanaceae.
AUGGUUCUGUGGAUCUAGACUUUUCCAUUCUCCAAUCCGCGCCGUCGAAACAGCAAAACCCUAAAACCCCCAAAACCCUACCUUUUAAAUCUCUAUAUAUUCAUCGUUUCCUCUUCUACUUCACUUCACUUCACAGCAGUUUUUGACGAAAUCUCUUCUGCCUACUCUUAACUUUUUUAUUUUCAAAAUCAAAACUUCUUCCUAUUAGGGUUAUUGAUAGAGGAAUCAAAAUUUUCGUUUUUUUUCAUAUUGGGGAGAUCGGUGAUGAUGAAUUCGAAGGCUUGUUUCUCAAAACAUUCGCAGUGGCCGCCUAAGUGCUUUCGCCUUCGCCAGGCUUGAGAGGGAUCUGGAACAGUAACGUUUGCUGCGGUCCGAACAAGUUUUGUGAAAUUGUUUUUAUGUAAAUAGAGCAGAAUGUACAGAGAAUUUAUACAAUUAGCCUAACUAGUUUACUUUGAUUUAUUUUGUUGAAUCUUACUCUUUCAGUGUCUAUGAUGAUAAAUUUUAAGGCUUGUUUCUCAAAACAUUCGCAGUGGCCGCCUAAGUGCUUUCGCCUUCGCCUGGCUUGAGAGUUUAUGCUGCUUUUAUCCUUGGAUGUCUGAGACACUAUAUUUUCAUCUUACAAGUAUUACAUUUUGUAGCUUUUGCUUAUUGAACUUACCAUUUUAAUGCCAAAUUUGGAAUUCUUAAUGUUACUUGUGGCUAAAGAUUAUAGCUUUUUGGAAACAUUAUGAUCUUUGUUUUAUAAAUCAGGGGAUUUGGGACUAGGAUGUCUGCCCCUUGAGCAUAUGUAAAGUUGCUUUAGGGAUGAACAAGUCCCUGACAAUUGAACUCCAUUCUUCACUUUGUCAGCAUUGUUUUAUUUAAUGCUUUGCUGAUCAUUAUCGGAUGGUACACUUUUUUGGAUUAAUUUGAUAAGUUGCUUUGUGUUUUUUUUUUUUGUAAAAAUUAUCUUGUUGCCUAUGAUAUACAUUUUAAGGCUUGUUUCUCAAAACAUUCGCAGUGGCCGUCUAAGUGCUCUUGCCUUCGCCAGGCUUGAGAGUGCAUGCUGCUUUUAUGAACACUUGAUUUGUGGUACUUUUAUAUGAUUUUGUUUGUAGUAAAUGGAGUAUUUGAUGAGUAGCUCUAGUUUUAGAUGCUUACAUCAUUAGCUUUUCAAUCUUGUCAUUCUAUCUAAAUACAUAAAUAGGAUACCUAGGAACAAUUGAUGAUUUUGUUCUUGCUUGAUAUGAUUAAAGGAGACUAAUAAUAAUGUCACUUGUAUGAGUGUAACUCAUGAAACUAGUUUUCAUUAUCUUUUUCUUUCGUUAAACUCUAUUUAUGGCCCAUGAUGAUAAAUCCUAAGGCUUGUUUCUCAAAACAUUCGCAGUGGCCGCCUAAGUGCUUUCGCCUUCGCCAGGCUUGAGAGUAUAUGCUGCUUUUAUCCUUCCUUGGAUGUCUGAGGCCUUGUUUUCCUACUUUUACUGUAGAUUAAGGAUCUUUUUUCCUAUGCUUUCUUUUAAUGCUAACAUGAUAGUUGAUUGUAGGUAAGUUAUCAUGAAUACUUGGUCUAUGCUGGUUUUGUAGGGCUAUGAUUAAAAAGAGAGAGGAUAGAGUGAAGUUCUCAUUUUUGAAUGGAUCUUGGUAGAUCAAGAUGCAUAAUUAAGGGGUUUAUGAUUUAGUUGCCCCUUUCUUUGAUUCACUGGAAGCUGUUGGCAGCUUGUCAACUAACCCUUGUAUCUUUAUUCUAUCCUGUUGCUCCUUUCAAUAUGAGAUUUUUUCACAGUGAUGGUUCUUCCAUAAAUACACUUGAUAUGAGCCCUCUCAGUUGAACCAAAAUUAUGUACAAUUUGUGAUAUAAUCAACUGUGCUUGAAAAUUUAAUAAGGCUUGCUAUACUGAUUAUUCUGCU